RNAcentral lists this non-coding RNA (178 nucleotides) under Anaerolineae bacterium. RNAcentral describes it as "6S RNA". It matches the Rfam family "6S / SsrS RNA". From Rfam's summary of the family: E. coli 6S RNA was the first non coding RNA to be sequenced, but its function was unknown until recently. It consists of 184 nucleotides that fold into an extended hairpin structure with a large single-stranded internal bulge. The record is from RNAcentral. Lineage: Bacteria; Bacillati; Chloroflexota; Anaerolineae.
AAUGCCCUGCUGUGCUCGUGAUGCGGCAUUCAUCGUUUUGAGCCAACACUUUAAAAAAAGGGCUCUGUUCUUACGGGUGCAACGCGAUAGGCGUGAGCCAAGGCGAAGCUUACGAGGCAAAGCCCGUCCUGCGUUAGCAGGUUCAAAACCUCGUCGCACACGACAUGGCGGGGAGUUU